UACGUAGGGUGCAAGCGUUGUCCGGAAUUAUUGGGCGUAAAGAGCUCGUAGGCGGUUUGUCGCGUCCGCUGUGAAAUCCCGAGGCUCAACCUCGGGUCUGCAGUCGAUACGGGCAAACUAGAGUAUUGCAGGGGAGACUGGAAUUCCUGGUGUAGCGGUGAAAUGCGCAGAUAUCAGGAGGAACACCGGUGGCGAAGGCGGGUCUCUGGGCCGAUAUCGACGCUGAGGAGCGAAAGCGUGGGGAGCGAACAGG
Molecule: ribosomal RNA, 253 nt
Filed under: uncultured bacterium
Lineage: Bacteria
Description: partial 16S ribosomal RNA
Rfam family: Bacterial small subunit ribosomal RNA
Source: RNAcentral